ACAUUGUUGUGUCGAAUUUCUGUCAGCUGUCAAUGGCCGUGUGUAAACUGUAAACAUUACACGACCUUUCAGAGGACACCUAGAGGGAUGUACAUGCGGUUUCCACGUGACUAAAAGACACGAGUGAUUACGAACGGGAGAGAUCUCGAGUCGCACCGAAUAAUCCGAAAUGGCGCACAUCGAUACGAGCGAAGAUGAAUCGGACCUGCCGACUCCGAAUUUUGUCCGAAAAACUCGCCAAUAUCAGAGUCACAAUCAUGGCAGCCCAGUUACACCCUCGUCCAUCACAAGCUCCGUGAUAUUCGGGCAAAUCCCCGAAGACGUGCUGCGCGUCUGGAGUCAACUGCCGGAGGCAGUUCGACUGGACCCCAGCCUGGCGGUUUUCCAGCGCGAAUAUGACCGAGUCAAUCAAAUAACGGAGACGAGAUCUCCGGAUAACUCGAAGCGAGACUACCUGGUUGUGAAUAUGUCUCUCGGCAGGCAACCCGCGAUGUCGAUUAGAGUCCCGAAUACAAGCAACCUCAGCGAAGGGAACAACGGGCAAGAUGCACAAGCGGCCCCGGAGGUCAAGCAAAAGAUGUUUUGUCGUUACGUGAAAUUAACCGUGCUGUCCUGUUGUUGGCUGAUGUUUACGAUGAUACUGAUGUUCAAGAGCGAGAAGAUCGAGACGAUGCACCGGGUCUCGAUCCCAAGCGGAGAAAGCAUAAAUUACGAGAUUCACGAGCGCGUCGCAAGCAAGCGGAUCAAGAUGACGGUGCAAGGCUCGUUGUUGUCCUUGGUGAAAAACGAACAAAAUCUGUCCACGCCUCAUUUGAUCAUAUGGCUGGGGUUUUCGAUACGCGAGGAAACGAUUGACGCAAGCCCGCAAGUGCCGCAGAAUAUAAGCGACGUGUGGAUAUUGAACGUACCGCCCGAACAUUUGAUGGAUGUCUUUCUCGACCAAAAGCACGAGCGGAUAUUCGAGAUCAAAGGAAUCAACGACGACACCUUGUCGCGCGGUGUGAUGUCCAUCAACUUCCGCACGAACUUGGAGUCCAAUUUUCCGAUUAACGUCAGUUACGACUUGUUGGACAGCCAAAUGGGUAUAAUAUGCGCAGCUUUGGUCUUGAUAGGCUUGUACAUCUUGAUUAUCUUCGAGGUUGUACACAGAGCACUGGCAGCCAUGUUAGCGUCUACGAUGUCUGUCGGAAUAUUGGCAGCUUUCAACGAGCGACCGACCAUGGCCCAACUGAUCUCCUGGAUAGACAUGGAUACGCUUCUGCUUUUGUUUUCCAUGAUGUUGCUUGUUGGCAUCAUCGCUGAGACCGGCAUCUUCGACUGGCUGUCAGUUUACGCUUACAAGAUAUCCGGCGGCAAGAUGUGGCCGUUGAUCAACACUCUGUGUUUCUUUACUGCAUUCGUCUCGUCGUUCUUGGAUAACGUCACGACGGUAUUGCUGAUGACCCCCGUGACCAUCAGGUUGUGCGAGGUGAUGGAGCUGAAUCCGGUCCCGAUCUUGACCGCCAUGGUGGUUUACUCCAACAUCGGGGGCGCGAUGACGCCGAUCGGCGAUCCGCCGAAUGUCAUCAUCUGUUCCAACCGAGACGUCGUAGAAGCUGGAAUCGACUUCAGCACGUUCAUGUUGCACAUGAGCAUCGGGGUAAUACUGGUGCUGAUCAUAGUCACCGCGCAAUUCCGUUUCAUCUAUCGAGAUGUGGCGGUCCUGAGGUUCGACGUGCCACAGGAUGUACAGGAGCUGAGACACGAGAUCGCCAUCUGGCAACGAGCGGCGGCCAGUUUAUCCAGCUACAGCAAAGACGAGAACGUGGUGAGAGAGACGUUGCUGAAGAAAGCCCAACGUUUGCUGUCGCGGCUUAAAUCAAAGGCGAUCACUGGCAGCACAGCGUUGAGGAAUUACAAGAACACGCUCGACGAAUUGCAGGAAAAGUAUCCUAUCAGAGACAAAUGGCUGCUGGCAAAGUCGGGAUUCGUGCUGAUUUUCGAGAUGACACUCUUUUUCCUGCACAGCGUGCCUAACUUGAACCUAUCUCUAGGCUGGACCGCCCUCAUCGGCAUCCUGCUGCUCCUGAUAUUAACCGACAGCCAGGAUCUCGACGGUCUAAUGGCGCGUGUCGAGUGGAGUACUUUGGUAUUCUUCGCAUCGCUGUUUAUUCUUAUGGAGUGUCUAUCACGCUUGGGUUUCAUCGACUGGAUCGGCAAGCAGACGGAGACAAUUAUUCUGUCGGUCAACGAGGAGUCCCGACUGGCGGUUGCCAUACUGCUGUUGCUCUGGGUGUCGGCGUUAGCGAGCGCCUUCGUCGACAACGUGCCGCUCACCACCAUGAUGGUGAGAAUCGCCACGAAUCUGGCGCAGAAUAACGAGCUCAAUUUACCAUUGCAACCUCUGGUGUGGUCGUUGGCGUUGGGCGCUUGUAUGGGAGCUAUCGUAUCGCGCGGGAUAACGAAAGGCCGCGACUCGUGGAAACUGGCGCCCCUCGACGAGCUCCUCGACGAGCGCCAGUUCUUCUAUUUACGUGAGCUAUUUGAACGAUUGCGGUGUUUAAAGGAAAUGGAACUUUGAUUGGAGCUACCGCCAAUGUGGUCUGCGUGGGCGUCGCGGAGCAACACGGUUACAAGUUCAGUUUCAUGCAGUUCUUCAAGAUAGGAUUCCCCAUCAUGGUAACAAGUACUUUAACCAUAACGAUAUAUCUAAUAAUCGCUCACGUUAUGUUCGGUUGGAACGCAACUUAGCGACUACAAGCACUAGGAAAGUGUCAACGAGAAGCCUUCUAAAACCUUCUAAAACGCACGGAGAACAUUAACACAAUGUAUAUCGUGUACACUUUUACGCACAGAAACGCUCGUCGCAAUAAUCGUUUCAUAAUCGUCUCAAAGCGAGUCAGUCAUUAUGUAACAUUCGUUAUUUUCGUUCUCAAGAUAAUUGUACGGCACACCGCGAGUUUUAGUUAUUUUGGGGGAUAUUUGUUAUAUGUAUAUAUAUAUAUAUAUAUGUAUAUGUAUACGCGAUCCGAAUAUUUAUUAUGCGUCAAAUAUACGUAUAGUUUUAACAUACACUUUCUUACAUUUCUGCGAGUAUUCGUGUAAAAUUGUGUAAAAAAGAAAUUCGAAACACAGCUCCUACGCAUACGUUAUACUAUGAGAAAUCAAUCAUAUCACAUGAUACAAUGUAUAUAUCGAGUCCCAUAUGCAAUAAAUUGCUCCUUUCGAAGCUUGCCAAGUCUCUUCUCUUCGGUCGCUCGCUUUCAAUCGUGAAUUCGUCGUGAAGAAUAAUCACUUGGCAGACCUUCGUUGCAAAAAGGUUUUAAUAAUUACACAAAAUACACAUACACGAUAGACGCAAUUCGUUGAAACACCUUUAUUAAAAAAACGGGGCUCUCCGGAUGAAGAGGGAAAAGAUCUCAAUUCCAAACGCCACCAGACGCGUAGCGUCGUAGAUUGUUGAAAGAUCGGACAACUUAUCGCGAGCUUACACUUAUAAAUCCCCGUUAAAAUUAUGCUCAGCUUAACGCAGUCGUGUGUUUACUGAAACUAAACACUGAACUGUUUUACUUAAAUUCUAUUUCUUAUAAAACUGGUAUUCUUGUAAUUAAGACAAUAAAUUCUUUGUGCGUGUGAUCUUCGCUGCUAAAAAGUAAGUCAUUAGAAUUUAUUAAAAUUGCCAAUAAAUAGACACACA
Harpegnathos saltator (Jerdon's jumping ant) is the source of this 3676-nucleotide RNA transcript. It is a transcript of the gene named P protein, with no coding region annotated. NCBI's taxonomy places the organism in Eukaryota, Metazoa, Arthropoda, Insecta, Hymenoptera, Formicidae. The transcript is spliced from 17 exons. The record is from RefSeq and is a predicted model, not a curated record.